GGAGAGGUGUCCGAGUCGGCCGAAGGAGCUCGCCUGCUAAGCGAGUAUACGGGCUUAAACCUGUAUCGAGAGUUCAAAUCUCUCCCUCUCCG
The sequence is a transfer RNA, 92 nucleotides long. It matches the Rfam family "tRNA". From Rfam's summary of the family: Transfer RNA (tRNA) molecules are approximately 80 nucleotides in length. Their secondary structure includes four short double-helical elements and three loops (D, anti-codon, and T loops).